AUAAAUGACAUUGUCAUCUCACAACACCAAGACUGGUUGCCCACUGAAGCUAAGCAGGGUUGAGCCUGGUCAGUACCUGGAUGGGAGACCUCCUGGGAAAACUAGGUUGCUGUUGGAA
This 118-nucleotide ribosomal RNA is filed under the name Sinocyclocheilus anshuiensis. The record is from RNAcentral. Lineage: Eukaryota; Metazoa; Chordata; Actinopteri; Cypriniformes; Cyprinidae.